RNAcentral lists this ribosomal RNA (302 nucleotides) under uncultured bacterium. RNAcentral's name for it is "partial 16S ribosomal RNA". It matches the Rfam family "Bacterial small subunit ribosomal RNA", at positions 508 to 807 of the family's 1533-position model. The record is from RNAcentral.
GCAGUAGCCGCGGGAAUACGGAGGAUCCAAGCGUUAUCCGGAAUUAUUGGGUUUAAAGGGUGCGUAGGCGGCAUGCUAAGUCAGGGGUGAAAGACGGUGGCUCAACCAUCGCAGUGCCUUUGAUACUGGUGUGCUUGAAUGUACAUGAGGUAGGCGGAAUGUGGCAAGUAGCGGUGAAAUGCAUAGAUAUGCCACAGAACACCGAUUGCGAAGGCAGCUUACCAAGGCAAAAUUGACGCUGAGGCACGAAAGCGUGGGGAUCGAACAGGAUUAGAUACCCGAGUAGUCCCUGUCUCUUAUAC